RNAcentral lists this ribosomal RNA (497 nucleotides) under uncultured bacterium. RNAcentral describes it as "partial 16S ribosomal RNA". It matches the Rfam family "Bacterial small subunit ribosomal RNA", at positions 28 to 507 of the family's 1533-position model. The record is from RNAcentral.
GAUGAACGCUGGCGGCGUGCCUAAUACAUGCAAGUCGAGCGAACAGACGAGGAGCUUGCUCCUCUGACGUUAGCGGCGGACGGGUGAGUAACACGUGGAUAACCUACCUAAAAGACUGGGAUAACUUCGGGAAACCGGAGCUAAUACCGGAUAAUAUAUUGAACCGCAUGGUUCAAUAGUGAAAGACGGUUUUGCUGUCACUUAUAGAUGGAUCCGCGCCGCAUUAGCUAGUUGGUAAGGUAACGGCUUACCAAGGCAACGAUGCGUAGCCGACCUGAGAGGGUGAUCGGCCACCCUGGAACUGGGACACGGUCCAGACUCCUCCGGGAGGCAGCAGUAGGGAAUCUUCCGCAAUGGGCGAAAGCUUGACGGAGCAACGCCGCGUGAUUGAUGAAGGUCUCCGGAUCGUAAAACUCUGUUAUUAGGGAAGAACAAAUGUGUAAGUAACUAUGCACGUCUUGACGGUACCUAAUCAGAAAGCCACGGCUAACUACGUG